This 508-nucleotide ribosomal RNA is filed under the name uncultured bacterium. Its description in RNAcentral is "partial 16S ribosomal RNA". It matches the Rfam family "Bacterial small subunit ribosomal RNA", at positions 28 to 523 of the family's 1533-position model. The record is from RNAcentral.
GUUGAACGCUGGCGGCAUGCCUUACACAUGCAAGUCGAACGGCAGCGGGGGAGAAGCUUGCUUUUCCUGCCGGCGAGUGGCGAACGGGGGAGUAAUACAUCGGAACGUGCCCUUUAGUGGGGGAUGACUAGUCGAAAGAUUAGCUAGUACCGCAUACGACCUGAGGGUGAAAGUGGGGGACCGCGAGGCCUCAUGCUAUAGGGGCGGGCGAUGUCUGAUGAGCUAGUUGGUGGGGUAAAGGCCUACCAAGGCGACGAUCAGUAGCUGGUCUGAGAGGACGAUCAGCCACACUGGGACUGAGACACGGCCCAGACGCCUACGGGAGGCAGCAGUGGGGAAUUUUGGACAAUGGGCGAAAGCCUGAUCCAGCAAUGCCGCGUGUGUGAAGAAGGCCUUCGGGUUGUAAAGCACUUUUGUCCGGAAAGAAAUGGCUCUGGUUAAUACCUGGGGUCGAUGACGGUACCGGAAGAAUAAGGACCGGCUAACUACGUGCCAGCCGCCGCAGUAA